RNAcentral lists this ribosomal RNA (448 nucleotides) under uncultured bacterium. RNAcentral's name for it is "bacterial SSU rRNA". It matches the Rfam family "Bacterial small subunit ribosomal RNA", at positions 355 to 825 of the family's 1533-position model. The record is from RNAcentral.
UGAGGAAUAUUGCGCAAUGGGCGAAAGCCUGACGCAGCCAUGCCGCGUGAAUGAUGAAGGUCUUCGGGUUGUAAAGCUCUUUUUACCAGGGACGAUAAUGACGGUACCUGGAGAAUAAGCCCCGGCUAACUUCGUGCCAGCAGCCGCGGUAAUACGAAGGGAGCUAGCGUUGUUCGGAAUCACUGGGCGUAAAGCGCACGUAGGCGGAUGUGUCAGUCAGGGGUGAAAUCCCGGAGCUCAACUUCGGAACUGCCCUUGAUACAGCACGUCUUGAGUCCGAUAGAGGUGGGUGGAAUUCCUAGUGUAGAGGUGAAAUUCGUAGAUAUUAGGAAGAACACCGGUGGCGAAGGCGGCCCACUGGAUCGGUACUGACGCUGAGGUGCGAAAGCGUGGGGAGCAAACAGGAUUAGAUACCCCAGUAGUCCCUGAGCGGGCUGGCAAGGCGCAU